RNAcentral lists this long non-coding RNA (834 nucleotides) under Homo sapiens (human). RNAcentral describes it as "long intergenic non-protein coding RNA 3049, transcript variant 5 (LINC03049)". The record is from RNAcentral. Lineage: Eukaryota; Metazoa; Chordata; Mammalia; Primates; Hominidae.
AAUCAAGCCUGGGCAAUGGCGGGCGCCCCUCCCCCAGCCUCGCUGCCGCCUUGCAGUUUGAUCUCAGACUGCUGUGCUAGCAAUCAGCGAGACUCCGUGGGCGUAGGACCCUCCGAGCCAGGUGCGGGAUAUAUUCUCGUGGUGCGCCGUUUUUUAAGCCCGUCGGAAAGGCGCAGUAUUUGGGUAGGAGUGACCCGAUUUUCCAGUGAGAUGAACCCGGUACCUCAGCUGGAAAUGCAGAAAUCACCCGUCUUCUGCGUCGCUCACGCUGGGAGCUGUAGACUGGAGCUGUAGACAGGAGCUGUUCCUAUUCGGGCAUCUUGGCUCCUCCUUGAAAACAAGCCCUGGAAAAACAAAGAAUGGAACACCCCUCCGCUGACUUCAACCAACUGCCUGCUGAUGCGGCCUGACUCCCAGCCCUUUUUGCAGUUUUGAAGUGACAAACUGACUAGGCUACAAAGUAUUCAACCAUGGGCUGGUUCUGGCUGGUUCACCGAGGCUGUGUACAAAGUGUCUUCAUGUCCUGUGUUUCACCUUUUAACAUACAGAACCUAAUUUUACUGCAUUUUAAUGUUAAUUCUCCACUCGAAGGUGAACAUGGGAUGUAUGUAACACAUAUGUUUGCUUAUCAAGCACACAUAUGACCCCCUUUCAUGAAUAUUCAUAGUUCCCCCUGUGACCUGUUGAAUAUGUCUGUUUAGCCAACCUGUUUGGCAUAAAACUCCUAUCCCACCCUAUCUCCCUCAAAGUACCUGUUUGUGGUCUCAGCUGGAGGUGCCACUUCCCAGCCUGCAGUUUGCAACCCUUCUCAAGAAAUAAAGUCUUCCUUUCCAA